Molecule: ribosomal RNA, 164 nt
Filed under: uncultured bacterium
Lineage: Bacteria
Description: partial 16S rRNA
Rfam family: Bacterial small subunit ribosomal RNA
Source: RNAcentral
UAGGGAAUCUUCCACAAUGGACGAAAGUCUGAUGGAGCAACGCCGCGUGAGUGAAGAAGGGUUUCGGCUCGUAAAACUCUGUUGUUAAGGAAGAACAUAUCUGAGAGUAACUGUUCAGGUAUUGACGGUNUUUAACCAGAAAGCCACGGCUAACUACGUGCCAA